GACGAACGCUGGCGGCGUGCUUAACACAUGCAAGUCGAACGGAAAGGCCCUGCUUUUGUGGGGUGCUCGAGUGGCGAACGGGUGAGUAACACGUGAGUAACCUGCCCUUGACUUUGGGAUAACUUCAGGAAACUGGGGCUAAUACCGGAUAGGAGCUCCUGCUGCAUGGUGGGGGUUGGAAAGUUUCGGCGGUUGGGGAUGGACUCGCGGCUUAUCAGCUUGUUGGUGGGGUAGUGGCCUACCAAGCCUUCGACGGGUAGCCGGCGUGAGAGGGUGGCCGGCGACAAUGGGAGGGCGAUACGGCCGAGAAUACUACGGGAGGCAGCAGUGGGGAAUAUUGCACAAUGGGCGGAAGCAGGAUGAAGCAACGCCGCGUGGGGGAUGAUGGCCUUCGGGUGGUAGACCACUGUCGGCGCCGACGAAGAGUAAGUGAUGGCAGUGGUAGAAGAAGCACCGGCGAAUUACGUG
RNAcentral lists this ribosomal RNA (468 nucleotides) under uncultured bacterium. RNAcentral's name for it is "partial 16S ribosomal RNA". It matches the Rfam family "Bacterial small subunit ribosomal RNA", at positions 28 to 507 of the family's 1533-position model. The record is from RNAcentral.